Molecule: non-coding RNA, 229 nt
Organism: Pelobates cultripes (western spadefoot toad)
Lineage: Eukaryota; Metazoa; Chordata; Amphibia; Anura; Pelobatidae
Source: the annotation of a GenBank genome assembly
GUCACUCUCAUCCCUGGGUGUGAAUGCUGCUUGCAGGUCAGCUCGCUCCAUUCUGCUGAGCUCCUCUGUUGAUAGGGGCACUGCACGAGUGCUAGCGUUGCCCUCAGCUUGUAAAUCCAGGAACUGGUGUUGUCCUGUAGCUGUCCUCCUGGGCUGUGGGAAUGAUCCCGUCGCUUGCCACCAAUUGUAACGGACCGUUUUGCACACAAGAGGUUAAAAACCUUUUAGG